This 1896-nucleotide ribosomal RNA is filed under the name human gut metagenome. RNAcentral describes it as "bacterial LSU rRNA". It matches the Rfam family "Bacterial large subunit ribosomal RNA", at positions 100 to 1989 of the family's 2925-position model. The record is from RNAcentral.
UGACCCGUAGAUUUCCGAAUGGGGGAACCCGGCAGUGGUUAUGCACUGUCACCCAUACCUUUGAGUAUGAGGAGGGCACCUGGGGAACUGAAACAUCUAAUUACCCAGAGGAAGAGUAAUCAAACGAGAUUUUCUUAGUAGCGGCGAGCGAACGGGAAAGAGGCCAAACCGGAGCGGGCAACCGCACCGGGGUUGAGGACAGUCAUCAAGUGUAAAUGAGGUAGAAGAAUCGAGUUGGAAAGCUCAGCCGCAGAAGGUGAAAGCCCUGUAAUCGAAACCUUGCAUACAUGGGACUGUAUCCAGAGUACCACGAGACACGUGAAACCUUGUGGGAAGCAGGGGGGACCACCCUCCAAGCCAAAAUACUGAUAUCGACCGAUAGCGCAUAGUACCGUGAGGGAAAGGUGAAAAGAACCCCUGGCGGGGAGUGAAAGAGAACCUGAAACCGUAUGUCUACAAACAGUCGAAGUCUGUAUAUAUAUCAGGACGACGGCGUGCCUAUUGAAGAAUGAACCGACGAGUUACUGUUGCUAGCGAGGUUAAGUGGAAAACAUGGAGCCGCAGCGAAAGCGAGUCUGAACAGGGCGUUCAGUUAGUAAUAGUAGACCCGAAACCGUAGUGAUCUAUCCAUGGCCAGGUUGAAGCACAGGUAAAAUUGUGUGGAGGACCGAACUCGUGAGCGUUGAAAAGCUUUGGGAUGAGUUGUGGAUAGGGGUGAAAUGCCAAUCGAACACGGAGAUAGCUGGUUCUCCCCGAAAUAGCUUUAGGGCUAGCCUCGAGGUUGAGAGUAUAGGCGGUAGAGCACUGAUCGGGCUAGGGGCCAUACCGGUUACCGAACCUAGUCAAACUACGAAUGGCUAUACUUAUACUCGGGAGUCAGACAGUGAAUGAUAAGGUCCAUUGUCAAGAGGGAAACAGCCCAGAACACCGACUAAGGUCCCCAAUGUCAUACUAAGUGGCGAAGGAUGUGGAAUUUCCAAAACAACCAGGAUGUUGGCUUAGAAGCAGCCACCAUUUAAAGAGUGCGUAAUAGCUCACUGGUCGAGAGACUCUGCGCCGAAAAUGUCCGGGGCUAAAGUAUGAAACCGAAGUCGUGUCAUAUGCAGCAAUGUAUAUGGGUAGGGGAGCGUUCUCAUCGGAUUGAAGCAGUACCGUAAGGAGUUGUGGACUGGUGAGAAGUGAGAAUGUCGGUAUGAGUAGCGAAAAGAAUGGUGAGAAUCCAUUCCACCGAAAGCCUAAGGGUUCCUGAGCAACGAUCGUCGUCUCAGGGUAAGUCGGGACCUAAGCCGAGGCGGAAAAGCGUAGGCGAUGGACAACAGGUUGAAAUUCCUGUACCGGUGUGAAUCGUUUGAUCGAAGGAGUGACACAGUAAGGUAGGUCAGCACGCGAUUGGAAGUGCGUGUUUAAGCAUGUAGGUUGAGUUAUAGGCAAAUCCGUAACUCUAAAAGCUGAGAUGUGAUGACGAGCUGUUUACAGCGAAGUGAUUGAUCCUACACUGUCGAGAAAAGCUUCUAGGUAGAGACACAUCGCCCGUACCAAAACCGACACAGGUAGGCGGGGAGAGAAUCCUAAGGUGCGCGGGAAAACCCUCGUUAAGGAACUCGGCAAAAUGCCUCCGUAACUUCGGGAAAAGGAGGACUCAUGUAGUGUGAAGGGCAGUAACGCGUGGAGCAUGAAUGAGUGGCACAAGAGAGGCGCAAGCGACUGUUUACCACAAACACAGGUGCCUGCUAAAGCGAAAGCUGAUGUAUAGGUGCUGACACCUGCCCGGUGCUGGAAGGUUAAGAGGAGGGGUUAGACUUCGGUCGAAGCUCUGAAUUGAAGCCCCAGUAAACGGCGGCCGUAACUAUAACGGUCCUAAGGUAGCGAAAUUCCUUGUCGGGUAAGUUCCGACCC